Molecule: long non-coding RNA, 11482 nt
Organism: Calidris pugnax (ruff)
Lineage: Eukaryota; Metazoa; Chordata; Aves; Charadriiformes; Scolopacidae
Exons: 15
Source: RefSeq, a predicted model, not a curated record
CUUCAGGUCUCUGAGCAAUCACUAAUUUCUUGACGGUGAGCUAGUCAGAUACAGAAACAGGAUUCUGUGGUUAACUACGGGAGCAAAGUGCUCCUAGGAUGUGCAAGCAACAAAAUGGAGGCCCAGGAACCUGGAGGAAGGCCCCAGACAUGCACCAGAUGGCUUCGUGUGAGUUUCUCCAGCUGUGAACAGAUUUUCAUUGCAACAAGACAUUGAACCAAUUACUUCGUUCUUAGAAGAAAGACUUCAGAGGACAGGAAGAUAAAUCGUAUUGAAGUCCGUGAGUCUGGUGUUCAUGACAAAUACUGAAAAUUUAUGAGGAACCACCCUAGUAUAUCCAAGGCUGCUCUAGGCCUCAUGUAAACAUCCAGGAGUGCUUCCCAAGUACCAGGCAUCGCUUGGGUGAAACUGACCAUGAAGGAAAUUGCUGGAUUUCAAAGGGCUCUUUAUUCCCGUCAGGUGAUGAACAGAGGAUGAACAGCUUAUGGACCUUAGGUUAUGGGCAUAAUAAAUGUUCAAAACACUUCCAAAAUACAUGCAAAUGACAAAGCUUUACUCCUGAGUGAGACAACAGCCUGUGGUAAACGCAUGUGAUCCUGAAGUUGAAGAUCAUGCCAUGUUGCUAUCCUUAUUUCACAAAAUUUUGGGAAGAUCAUUGCUGUUCUACCUCAUGGCUUAAAGGAAGGGGGAAGAAGCUCGGACAUCACCUGUGAGACUGCUCAGCUCUUAUUGGAGCUCCAUGGUGUUGGAUGCAGCUAAGAGCAACUCAAAGAGUCAGAUGAAGAUGCCAAGAGGAGUAUUUUCACAGAACUGCAGAAUGACAGGAACGGUGAUUGGUAUUUCCCAAGGUCAUCUAGUCCAAAACACCAGUUUGAAGUGAAGGCAGUUACCUGGAAUCACUGAAAAAACCAGAAAACCUUCCUUCUCAUCAAGACUCCAGCUGCAUCCUUUAACCUUUAAAGUAAAAGGUGAAAUCUAGAAAGCAUAUAUUUCAGUUGAACCUUCGAAAGAACUUGACAACUUCUAGGGUCACAAUUUGACUAAAUGUCAUGCAAACAGGAAACAACAGAGUCCUGAGCAAGAUGUUUUGAGAGAGAAUUGGGGUAACAGCAAUAAGGAAAAAAAAAUAGUUGGAAGAAGUAACACCUAUAAAGGGAUGCAAACAACCAUAUAAGCAUUCGACAUAUCAUAUGAGCAUUUAAGAAUAGUUCUCCAUGAAAAUAUGCCAGAAAAAUUGGGUCCAAAUUUCAACAAGGAUUUGACCUUCCGUGCCUGCUAGUAGUUUUGUGUGAAAUGUUGGCAAACGGAGUGGGUUGUUACAGUCUGAACAAUCUGUUUCUCCAGUCUUUCAAGAACAUUGUGAAUUCUAAUCCUGUCCUCCAAAGUGCUUGCAAACAUUCCCAUUGGAUUUUAUAAGGAAACACUAUGUUCCAUAAUGAAAAGCUCUAAUGGAGAUAUUGACCACUCUCUUGUCCAGUACAGACCACUGCAAAACUCACCUAAGCAGCCUGAGGGACAAAAGAAAAAGGGAAAUCUCCGAAGUCUGUCUAUAACAUAUUGGUAUGAAGAAUAGACCGCAAGUUCAAAUUCAAAUAAGUAUUAUACCAUGUUAAAGUGCAUGAUGACUGUGCAGUGUGGGAGGUCGCACAGUAAUAAAGAAACACAAAUAUGCCCAGAGGGACUAAGAUGGCAUAGAGAGAGUCCAUGAUUACUGCUGCUUUCGUCACCCUCUCGCUGUUACGGCUGUGUGACCUGCUGUAGCUCAGAGAAUCCUGCUGGCAUUUCUGGUGGUUUUAUGAAUCUCCCCGAAUCUCAUAAUUGAAUUGUGAAAUGGCAGCUGGUCUGGAAAUGAGAGGUACGAGCGCAAAAGGAAAUGUACUAAAAGGUAUAGGAAGAGGGUAUGAUGCAAUUUUUCAACUAAUGGUGGUAUUAGGUGCAGAAACAAUUAACAGCUGUGAGGCUUAGAAGAAAUAUAAUGGCAAAAGAAAACGUGAGAAUAUUGAAAAAAACAAAAUAGAAGCUUUUAUGAACUAAAUUGAUGCCUAAUUGGACCCAGAAGAAGAUACUGCCGUGGAGAGGGAGAACAAAGUCAUAUAAUUUGUGCAAAGUCAAAGAAGAAAUGGAAACAAGAUACACGGAAAGUGAUUAAACAGAAAGAUUAAGAACUAGCACAAGUACAAAAUUUUUCUCAGCAAGAAUUCAAAACCAGUGAGGGGGGUUGUGUUCAAAUGAUACAACAUAAUAUUUUUUGCCAUAUUCUUUGGCAAAGAACUUCAGAAUUUGCCUAGAUCUGACCCUUUACUUCAUUAUCUGCUGAGCCAAACAAGACAACUGGUUUACUUUGACCUGCCAUCCAUCGUAGCAUUGAAAAAAUAGGUACAAAAUCUGCCACCAUCAAAGCCUUAAUGUAUGAAAACAUGCAUGAUAUAGUCAUGUUAGUAGUGUUAACAGAUGGUAUAAUAUUGCUACCACGUGUGAUAUGGAAGCAGAAAGCAAUGCCGAAGGAAUAGCUGCCGACUGGAAUAAUUGUAAGGUGUCAAAACCAAGGAUGGAUGUCUACAGAUUUAAUGAAGGACUGGCUGAACAUCAUUUGGAUCAGGAGACCGGGUGUGCUGUUAAGAAAAUCCUUGUCCUAGAUGCAUUCGAAGGUCACCUAUCGCUUGCUGUGAAGAAUUUUGCCAAGAAAAUGAAUAUUGAUCUUGGGGUUAUAUCAAGAGGAGUGACAUCAAAACUCUUUGUGUAGUAGUGAAUGUGCCCUUUAAAGACCACUUGAAAUCUUCAUACUCAGAAUGACUAUCGGCAGGGAUCAUGCUCUAGCUUCUACUGGAAAAAAACAUAGUGGUGCAAAACAGCUCUGUCAUUUUAAGAGACCACCAAAGACACCACCAAAUAAUUCCAGAACUUGUAGCUAAUGUUUUUAAGAAAGACUAUAUUUUACAUUCCAUGAAUGGGACAGAGGAUGAGAGAUGAAUACAAAGAAAAACCUGCAAAUGGUGAAGACACUAAAAGCGAAGAAUAGAUGGAAGAUGGUGAAGAGAAUGACAGAGAUGUUGAAGUGUAAAAACUGAAAAGCAAUAGUAGUACAGCAUAUGAGAAGAAUACUGCUUAACUUUAGGCAAACUGUUAGUUAAAAUAUUUUUUAUUGAUUAUGGGUAUGCAAUAAUAACCUUUUUGUAUAUAAAAUUCAGUUGAGAGUAGCUGAAAUUCAGUGGUCUUCUCCUUCCUGGUUGUCACUGUGCACUUACUUUUUCAUGGUGAGAUAAACUAAGAUGCAUCUACGUUUUGCCACUUGUACCCACUCCUGUGCAGCACUUGUAGUACUGUGACUUGUCCUGAUAAAAUACUCUGAACUGAAUGACUAUCAUGAUCGGGGUUAUAAAACCCAUAGACAGAAACUCAAAAUGUUUUGAUGUUGACUUUACAAGCAGUUAUAUUACUAUAGUUGUGAUAUAUGUCCUCCAGACUUGGGCCACAAUGGAAAGAAUGGGUAGCUUGGAUCAAAGUAAAGGACUUGGUGAGCCAGCUUUACCAACAGAGAAAUAUUACAUGCCCAUGUUCUCAUUCAGUACUACUUUUUUAUCUAUUUAUCAUAUUCUAAUCACAGUUUCAAGUUACACAUAAAUCUGAUUACUUACUUCAUCAAAAUUUUCCACCCCACGUCUUUCACAUUCAAUUGCAAAACAGGCAAUGAGAGAUCAUUCCCUCCAACUUUGAAAUCAUUGCAGACAUCAUCAUUCAGCCUGUGAUGCAAGAGUGACAGUGACGUAUGACUGGGUGUGCUCUGUAUGAGGAGAGAACAGAGGACAGAGACAUCAGACCCAAAGUAAAUGGUGGAAACGCUAAAGAUAGAUGAAGCAGGGGAAGUAAGUAUAACAGAGUCAAUGUGUUCUAGAUAACUUAUUAGAUACCUUAUUUACAAUUUUAGUUUUAAUUUCAGAACAUUAACUAUAUUCUAAAUAUUUUAAUUUUUUGUCCUAAGAAGCAGUGAGUUUCAUUCAGUCCUGCAGAUCUUAUCCCAGAAAUUCAAACCUGGUAGAACCCAUCACUAAACAGAAUCUGUCAGUUCCUGCAGUACUAACUCACAGCUAUAGCAAUGGUUCAGCCGUAUCGUGAUGGUAGCUAUACCCCAUAGGCUACCUGCUUGUGAGGUAGGAUAACAUUCUUUAACCAACCCCUAAGGUUAGGGUUUGUGCUACUAGGAGUGAACAACUUUUGCUUCAUUUUCUUGUAGAUAAGAAAAAAUAGCCUGGAAUACAAGCUUAAUUAAGGGUUAAGUUAAAGAACUGUAGGGGUUAAUAGGGUAGUUUUAGUCUUUGUUCUUGUAAGUACCACAGUACUUCAUCUGCACAGUGGUAGUUAUUUGUACACGCUACUUAUAUUAAUUCUGUUGGGGGAGGGUACAAAAGUCAAUAUAUCCUAUAUAAUUUUUAACAGUUUUGAUUUGUGCUGUUUUGUGACCUGAAGUGUCAUUUUAGAAGAACUGAAAAAUUAAAACAUUUUACUUUUACAAAUGUUAGUUCCUAAUAAGAUUCUAACCAGUUUAAAUAUGAAUCAAUUAUUCUUAAAUCCCUAGUUUGACAUAAAUUUAGCUUUGACCAGAUGGAUGACAGCAAUGAUAUUCUUUGCACUUUUGUUUUACUUUAACAAAAGCAUUCACAGCAAAUAAUCAAAUUAAUCCAUGUUCUUCCAAAGCAUACCAUCUGUUGAAGUUUAAUACUAAUAUAAUAGAAAUAGUUCACUACAAUAUCUUUUUUCAUGAGAAAGAUUUAUUUCCCCCCUAGGCAAAAUGCUUCAUGAAUGGACUAGAAAUAUACUUUUGCUUUUUGGCCAAAAUGGUCACAAUGCAGGUUUGACCUGAAAAGCAUUGAAUUUAGGCUCAUGGGCUAGAACUCUAAGCAUUUUACACUUGCUCACUCAUCUUGCUUAAAAUUCAGACUAGAGCAGCCUUCUCCUUUCCAUCUUGCAAUAACUCUUGUUUGUAUUUGGGUUCCUGAGACAGAUAAUCCUAUUUAUAUUUUAGUUCUCAUCUUUCCAUUUUCAAACCAUUUUUUUUUUAAGUCAUGAAUAUGACAAAAAAGGAAACAUUUGUUUCUGUUAUGAAUCUGACCCAACUCUAAAGAAAUUUUUUCAGUAUAUAUUAAAUAGAUUAGUUACUAUGCAGUGCAAUUAAUGCAACAGUUCUAUGAAAGCAACUAGGUGAGGGAAGAUGAGAGAUUCAAGCUUUUAGGACAGAUAGGAUUUAGUGUAAAGCUUUGACAUUAUCAGUCACUAAAAAUUAAUUAUCACAUAUAAUUAGGACAAAGUGUGGCAAUUCAAAUGAACGAGCUCUUUAGAAAACUAGUCAACUGAAACACUCACCAUGGAAAGCCUUAUUGCCUCCUCCUCCAAAAAAGAAAGAGUGGAUUGGGAUGAGAACAGGGUGAUCAAAAGCUAUAUGAACAGCCUGCAAAUAGAGAACAUAAGGAGAUUAUGAAAGACAUCUUCAAGAUAAUGAGAUUUUUGGCAUGAAGAGGGUGGAUAUACAUAAAAACUUCUCAACUCUGCCAGGAUGACACUUAAAAGAAUCAGAGAGACUCAUAAAAUUGCUAGUCAGUAGGAGCCAGGUUUAAAAGAGGAAAAGAUGUCUUUUCUUGCAAUAGAUUUUUGCUAAAGUUCUGGAUUUAAGAAGUUUAGAGGGGCUCAGGGAAACUGGAAAAGAUUGAAAGGGUAAGCCACUGUGGGUUGCUAAAUUGACCUGCCAUUUUUGGGCUGAGGAAUCCUUUCAGAUGGAAGUAGUUCAAGGUUCAGAAGAUAUAGCAGGGGCAUGGUUAUAAAUGUUUGCCCUCUUCCUAAUAUUCCCUAGACAGCUGUUUAGGUUCUGUUAUUGUUAGCUGUUAUUGGAGAAAUAACAUUGCGUUAGCUUGACUUGGUCUCGGCCAGUGAAACGUAUUCUUGUUCCUGAUUGAAGCCUACCACUGUCAUUAGCUUUGAUGGACUGUGGAUCAUGUGGGUCAAAUGCUGCACUGGCAAAAAGGUGUAUCCAUCUCUCAAUGGACGGGCAUCCUUAAGCUUUUGCUCAAUUAUGCACUUAAGUAUUCUCAUGAAACUCUUUAUGAAACAGCAGAACUACUCUUAACCUAGACAAAGUUGUCAGCAAGGUUUCCUUGCUAUGUGGUGAAGACUGUGCAACUGCCAUAGUUUUGCACUGGGAUAUGAAAUAUGACUAGACCCACAGGAAAUCAGAAUCAUCAGCACUUCUGGUGUAUUUGUCACCAUGCAAUCAUUAUUCUCUGUCAUAUUUCCCAAUUAUUACAAGAAACACCUGGAUUCACAUAAUUUGUUGUUGUACCUGACAGCACUUACCAGUGAACUGCAGGCAGUACCUAACAUGAACAGAGAGAAAAUUUGUUUUCCAAAGCCCUAUCCUUCCUGCCUAGCCCUACUGAUUCAUCAAAGCACAUAGGCAGCUGGGAAAACUGUCAGUUAAAUCCUUAGAUUAGUUUCAUACUCAAAGAUGCGCUGAAGUGCUUUUCUGGACCUAGUCCAGAUGCUCAGCAUCUUCUAGGAUCAAGUUCAUAUUUAUGAGUGCUUCAUAAGUGAAGAAAAUCAUAAAAUUGAAUGGUUUUGUUCCCAUAAAAAGGGAAAUAUAAAGCACUCAGUACAAAGUAACCAUGUGUUAAGUACUCAUAGAACAUUUUUUCCUUUGUUAAUUAAGCAAAAUUUCAUCUGGGUGGGGCAUUUCUUGGCAGCUGAUGUUCAGGCGAGAGUCGUGAGUUUUAAUUGCCACUUAAAUCUAGGGCAUCUCAUUGAACAAACAGGUGGAGCAUAUCCACUUUAAAUGUAUGCAAACAGCUUUAUUUAUGAUAGAUAUGAGAAUGAGUUUUCUGAUUGAUUAGUUCCUUUUAAUUCCAAGGAAAUUGUGGCCGAUUGCAGUAACUGCAGAUUUUCUGCAAUGAAUGUAGCACAGGUUACACAGAAAACCAAUUCAAAGAGAACACUUACAGUUUUAAAAUCUGUAAUAACGUGAAAGAAAUAAACCAAGCAAGCAAGCAUAUUCCAUUUAUAACUCUUAGAAAUGGGACUUAUUAAUUGAAAUAUGUGGCUGAAUAGGAAAAUAAUCUGUUUAAGUCUGACAAGAAUCACUAGCUCUAAACAAGCAGCCAUUUCUAGGCUGACACUUUGUAUGAUAUAAGGGUUAGCUAGGAACCAGCUAUUAAAGUACACUGAAUCAGUUACCAAGCUAUAUUCUGUGAUCUGGAAAACAAUUCAGUGUUUUAUAUUUUUGUUUCUAACAUACAGAGAAAGGGAGAAUGCGUUUGUGAAAUGCGUUCCAUUUUAUUCUAAUAAUAAUCAGUUAGCGAUUAAGAAAGCUUUCUUUCCUCUGAAUCAGCUGCCAAUACAAAGAAUAUCUCAUGUAAACAGCUCUCAGAUACAACAUACUAGUUCAUUGCAUUUUCAGAGGCUUAGAUGAGGUAGUAGGAGAUAAUAUGCAAUUUAUUUCUCCUAUUUGGGUGUGUAAUGGCAAGGCUGGAUAGCACUCCGGAGCUAGGUAAGUAGCUAUAAACUUGAUGUAAGUCUUCAUCCUUUUAGGAUUAGUUUAUACUUCUGAUUCUUAGUUAUUGAAGCCCUUGAUUCCAUUAUCAGUAUGUUAAUAUGUGAAAAGACAUAAGCGGACCCUUAACUGACUGUUUUGGUGGUGGUGUGCUUUGUGACGUGUUACUUUACUCAUGUCACCUAAACCAGUGAACCAGUGGAAAAUCUGCAGAUUAGUCUACAAAGGACUGUGUCUGAUGUUCGUUUAUUUUUUCUGACUAAAGUAAAGCAAAAUUUGCAAAAAAUUUUUACUAUUGUCUACAUUUUUUUUCUUCUGCAUAAGGAUUAUUUAUUUUUUUUUUGCUAUAUUCAGUAUUUCUUCAAGAAUAAUCCUAGAGUUACAAAUGGGAGGAUGCAAUGCUUGUUCAUAUUACACAAGAAUACAGGGACACUAGUUAUUGAAAGGAAAGUGAUACUCAAUAUAUGACCUUCAGGUCUUUUUGAGCAGUUAAAUCUGCACUGGGUUUGUUUUGAAGACCAUGUCAGCCGUAAGAACUGAUACCUGAACUCAUAUCUAAACCACAUAUAGAAGAAAAGGAAUAACCUAAAGAGGAAAGACCGAGUUGUUAAAAGCAGGCCAAAGUGUGGUAGAAAACUCAGGCACUACAACCCAGCGGGCCAAGUCAAGAGCAUGGUUAGAGGUGAGACAGAUGGUCAGCUAAAUGGGCAAUCACAGCACUGAGGAUGCCCCUGGAAGAUUAAAUAAAGAGGAAGCAGGGGGAAGUAAGCUGAUUUUGAGUAUUAAAAAAAAAACUGGAAGGGCGUGAAGCAUGAGAGCCAAUAAUAAGGGAAGGGAGUAUCAGUGCAGAUCUCAACCAAAGGACUGUUCUCCAGGUAGUCUAUAGCUUCCAAAGAGUCCUUGCCGAGGCAUCAACUUAAGCAGUUUGUCUUCUAGUGGGGUUGAUUUCCACAUGUGAAAAGGAAAAAUCAAUGAUGGAUGUAACAUACACGUACCAAAAAAUGGAUGCUGAUCCCGGUCUAUUUAGUUUAAGAAACAAGUGGCUAUCAACUGUCACUGUGGCAGGCAGAUCAUAACUUAAUACAGCCUGAAAAAAUAUUCCAAUUUACAUCUGCUUAGAAUACAAUCACACUUCUUAACUGUAGACCAGGAAACACAAUAAUAGAAUUAGAGCUGUAUUUUAGAAGGAUGGUCACAGUGAUAGUCUUGAAUUACCAGGGAAAAAAAACAUAUUCUUAUUUACAGAGUACUGUGUCUUUGAGGUGAGCUUUAAAAUUAGCUUUCCUUCUUUCUCUGUUCUCCCUAAAGAGUGAAUCAAAUUAGUUUUGUAGUAUAUUUUUAAUAGGAUUUGUUUCUCAAUAAGGCCUUUUUUCAUCAGAGCCUAUAUUUGAAGGUGACUAUGACAGUUUUCAGUGAGGAGGGAUGAAACCAGAUCAAGAGGAGCUAUUCUUAGGAUACAGUGGCAAACCUGUUUUUUUAAAAAGGAAAAAAGAGUUAGACAAAUCUGGAUUUUAGUUUUACAUAAAAAGGAAGCUGAAAUCUUAGAAAACAUUUGAGCAGUUGUAAGCUUGAAAAUCUGUUUCACAUUUUUCACUUUAAAGCACCUGCAUUCAUUAAUUAAUAGGUUAUUUUUCAUUAAAAAAAAAAACAAACCAAAACAUUGAGAUCUUUAAAACUAUUGCUAUUCUUUGGGACAUAAAUCCCUCCUCCAGAGAGCUGAAUAUUUAUUUCAUUAGUUAGUGAAAAAUAAGGAGUAAUGAGAGCUAUUUGGUUGUUUGUUUUUAAGUCAUUAUUUUUAGCUUAUUUUUUUUAAAAAAAACAUUAUAUAGGUUACAGUAACAGGUUAAGACUCUCUGUUGGUGUUCUAUGUGAAAGCACAACAUGAGGAACAAUUAGAAAUGAAUAAAAAUAUGGCAUGAUUAAAACUAGCUGUUUCUGAAGGCCAGAUAUGGUAUUUUAAACAAUAGGUAAGCUUCGAGAUGGUUUUAUGACACCAUAUUUGAAGAACGGUUUCUGAAGAAUGAGACUGGGAUAAAGCUGCUCCUUUAGCAAAAUGCAAAGCCGUUUGAUGAAAAUGACUUUUGCUGUCUAAAGCUAGGCUAUUUAAAAGAACAUCACUUUCAUAAAGAAAAGCUGAUUUAUCUUGUGUCUUCACACUAAUGGACUAAGCCUGAUAUAACACAGACCUUCCAAAGCUUAAAAGGAAGUGGUAAAAAUCAUUGGGUAGAAAAGUUAGUGGUGGAAAUAUGGGACAGAAAAAUUAAAUUCUGCAAAAGCUUCACCUCAUAGUAGUUUUAGACAUCUUGCUUCUUUCAGAGGACUUGGUCUAAGAUGUUAGCUUAUGUUAGCCAUCUAAAAUUAAGUGUCUUCUCUAGGAUCAUGUCCCUUAGAACACAGGAGAAAAAUGCACUGGUGAGAAACAUAAUGCCAGUAUGAGCUAAAAUCUUCUUUAAAACAGGAAGCAUCCCAUCUUAGUUCUUCCUCACUCCUAAUUUCUGAAGUUGCUACAAGUUGUUAUAACUUCUGUCACAUUAGGAAAUUGAACCUAAAAUUGACUAUGUUCAGAUUGCCUUUGGUUACCUGCAUCGGUUUCCACUGGGAUGAAAUGAUCGGGCUGAUCAGUUGAGAUGAUUAGAAAUGGCUUUUUAAAAUAACCUUUAACACAAUUUACAAUCAAUAUCAAGAGAUUUCAAAUUUGAUGACUUGAUAAAUAUUCACAUGUGUUAUUCCAAGUCACUUUUCACCCCUUGUACUUUAAAGUCUUGUUUUUAUCAGAUAUCGUUUAUAGAGAGCGUAUGUGUUAGCUGUAAUGAGCUGUGACACGCAAAGUGAAGGGGAGCUACACCCAGAUCCAGCCUCAGAACUGCCUUCUGGCUGGUUCACACACAGAACUUCUUGCCUCUCCAGAGAGGAGCAUUUCACUCAAAGUCAUCCCUGUGCCUACGUGAUAUGUAUGUAUACAUGCAUCUCAGAAUAAGACUAUUUUCAGAUUUGGUUCAAUGCUCAGUAUUUUAGUUCUUUGCAUCAAGAACAGCUGUUUUUUCCCUGUUAUGAACACUUCUGGUAAGGGGUCUUCAGAACGGUUUUAACUUACUCUUUCAUUAGUAGGAGCAUAACAGUCUUGUAAUGGGAAAAAUUUAAGUGGACUAUGACUUUUUGUAAAUGCUGUAGCUUAAGGUUCCAAUCUCUAUCAGGUUUCAGGCAUCUGUUGUCUCUUUCUAUUUCAUUAUAUGCUAUUCUUUUCUCCAAAAUUUUUCCUUCUUUAAAGAUUGCCUUUAUAGUUCCCCUUCCAAGAGCAUUAGCUACUUACAGAUUGACUUACCUUCGCAUAUUUUAGAGGCUUCUCAGGAGUUGCUUAUCUCUAUUGACUAUCUAGGUAACUAGCUUAAGGCAACAUGAAUAACUUUUAGAUGGUUAACCUUUCUUAACCCCUUUUUUUCUGGAAAGCUUAAGUUUUCUUUUUGCCUUUUUCAUUCUUUUCCCAACCAUCUAUGCACUUUUCCCACUUCUUUUAAAGAUUCAUUUCUCUGCAAGCACUUUUCACUGCACUGUUCUUGAUAAUUGAUUAUCUCAAAGAGGGGUUUUAUUUCCUGCUGCUUUCCUGCCACAUAUUUGGCAUAUGUUACCUUUUGCUUCUGCAGCACUGCAUUUAACAUCUGUCGAAAGAAAUAUAACCGAGUGCUAGAAGACAAAGAGCACUAAGAUUCGUGAGAAUGCUUUUUCUUAUAAUAGUAUUACAGUGGAGUUGGAUGGAUAUUACUUUUAAUGAUAAAUUAUUUUGAGUGGAGUUUUUAUUAUCUCAUUUUUCUAGAACUUUCACCUGAAUUUUAUACAUGGAGAACUCUUAAAAUAACCUAGCUCUUUCAAUAAUGGAAGUCUUCUGAAAGAUUAAAAUUACGAUAUUUGUUGAGGAACAAUGUAGGGACACAUUUGAACAAUACCAAUAUUAAC